Molecule: ribosomal RNA, 507 nt
Filed under: uncultured bacterium
Lineage: Bacteria
Description: partial 16S ribosomal RNA
Rfam family: Bacterial small subunit ribosomal RNA
Source: RNAcentral
ACGAACGCUGGCGGCGUGCCUAAUACAUGCAAGUCGAACGCUUCUUUCCUCCCGAGUGCUUGCACUCAAUUGGAAAGAGGAGUGGCGGACGGGUGAGUAACACGUGGGUAACCUACCCAUCAGAGGGGGAUAACACUUGGAAACAGGUGCUAAUACCGCAUAACAGUUUAUGCCGCAUGGCAUAAGAGUGAAAGGCGCUUUCGGGUGUCGCUGAUGGAUGGACCCGCGGUGCAUUAGCUAGUUGGUGAGGUAACGGCUCACCAAGGCCACGAUGCAUAGCCGACCCGAGAGGGUGAUCGGCCACACUGGGACUGAGACACGGCCCAGACUCCUACGGGAGGCAGCAGUAGGGAAUCUUCGGCAAUGGACGAAAGUCUGACCGAGCAACGCCGCGUGAGUGAAGAAGGUUUUCGGAUCGUAAAACUCUGUUGUUAGAGAAGAACAAGGACGUUAGUAACUGAACGUCCCCUGACGGUAUCUAACCAGAAAGCCACGGCUAACUACGUG